This is a small nuclear RNA of Rhincodon typus (whale shark), 184 nucleotides long. RefSeq annotates it as U2 spliceosomal RNA. Lineage: Eukaryota; Metazoa; Chordata; Chondrichthyes; Orectolobiformes; Rhincodontidae. The record is from RefSeq and is a predicted model, not a curated record. The transcript has a single exon.
AUUGCUUUUCAGCCUUUUGAUUAAGAUCAAGUGUGGUAUCUGUUCUAACUGGUUUUAAUAUCUGAUCUUUCACCUUAUGUGGGGACAGUAUCUUCAAUUGAUUUUUGGAUCAGGGAAAUGGAAUAAUGAUGUGCUGUGACCACAGAAGGGCUGUUAUGACACAGUGGUAGCACCUCUACCUCUG